Molecule: non-coding RNA, 71 nt
Organism: Phrynosoma platyrhinos (Desert horned lizard)
Lineage: Eukaryota; Metazoa; Chordata; Lepidosauria; Squamata; Phrynosomatidae
Source: the annotation of a GenBank genome assembly
GCCAGCGUGGUGUAGUGGUUUGAGCGUUGGACUAUGACUCUGAAGACCAAGGUUCACUUCCCAGCUUGGUG